This is a non-coding RNA of Pelobates cultripes (western spadefoot toad), 329 nucleotides long. The record is from the annotation of a GenBank genome assembly. Lineage: Eukaryota; Metazoa; Chordata; Amphibia; Anura; Pelobatidae.
UUAAGUGUGGGUGGUGUUAAAAUGGUGAUUUUGUCAUUAUUUCCUGUCUAGUGCAGACAAAUAGUGAACGUUAACACUUUCACCACCACAACUACGUCACGCACACUCUUGGAGUAGGCUGCGUUCGUGACAGCUUUACUUACCUUUCAGGACCUUGCUGUGGAUGAGUUCCCAGGACAGCUGCUGGGUCCUCAGAUUUCACAUUGGACUUGCUGAUGAUCUUAGCCAGGGAGGCAAGGCAGGGGGCUGAGCCAAACGCCACGCUGGCCAAUCAGCAUCUCCUCAAAGAGAUGCACUGAAUCAAAAUUUAAAGCAGCACUGUCAUGCCG